Molecule: non-coding RNA, 5695 nt
Organism: Ceratotherium simum simum (southern white rhinoceros)
Lineage: Eukaryota; Metazoa; Chordata; Mammalia; Perissodactyla; Rhinocerotidae
Source: RefSeq, a predicted model, not a curated record
GAAAGGAAGAGGAGAAAAAAGAUUUCUAGAAUAUGACGGAGGUUGAGAUGAAGCUUCUUAAUGGAGUAAAAUAAUUUUAAAUAGUCGAAAGAUAGGACUGCUAAGUCCGAAAUUCAGAGAAGCCUUAAAUUAAAGAGCAGCCUUUUAGAUGAUAAUAAAGCGUAGAUGAGAUAGAUAGAACCUAAAGGUCGUUUUUAAAAGUCAAAUUGUGGAUGAUAAAAAUAUUCUAAAAGGCCUGUUUUAAAGAUUGAAUUGAAGGUGAUUUAAGAGCGCCUUCAAAUUCGUGGCGCAGGAAAGAUUGCGUUAUUUGAAGCCUAGUUGAUCUUAAGGCAUUAUUUGCUAAAAAUUGACGGAAAUACCAAUUAAGAGUGGUAGGAUAAAAAUAUGGAGAAAGAAGAUUAGAAAUUAGAAGUGGAAAACUCAGAAGACAGAAGUACAGGAAGGUGAAGAAAAGUCUUAGAAGAUAGGAAAACUAGAAGAUGAGACAGACGCCAUCUAGAAGACAGGAAAACUAAUUUUAAACCCGAAAGGUAGGAAGCAGAAGAAAAAGUAUUUAGACAAACUGGGAAACCAAAGCAACUAAAGGCGCAGAUAGAAAUUUAGUAAACUAGAAGAUAGAAACAAGGUUGAAAAUACUGUCAAGGAAAAGUGUUUCAGAUAGAAAAUGAAAAGCUAAGACAACUAUUGGAUACAAGCGUACAAGAUAGACGUCAAAAAUUUAGAAAAAUUUAAAGCCAAAAGAUUGGAUAAACUACAAGAAAAGAAAAACUAGGGAAAUUAAUUAUAAUACUAAGAAUUUCUUAUAAAAGCCUACCAAUUUAAUCUCCGGUGAUGCAGAAGUUAGAUUUGAGAUGAGGGUCAAACUACUGUAGACCAGGACCAACUUAGAAGAAUAUCUGGAAUCUGAAAGGGAAGUAAGUUAAAAAUCACAGCAAAAAGCUACUAAAAGGACUGAAGUAAUUUAAAAAUUAAGAAUGGUUUUGGAAGAGUUAAAAAUUCGGAACGCCUUAAGUAUAGUAGCUUAGUUUUCUUUGGAAAAUUUAAAGGACUUGCAUAACAAUUGAAGAUCAAGAAUAACCACCAACUUAGCAUUUUUGCAUUGGACUUUGAGUUAAGAUGAUUCGUUAAGCCCUGAGGACUAGCGUUAAUUGGCAGCUGACCCAGGUGCUACACAGAAGUGGAUUGAGCGAAUCUAGGAAGACAGGAUUCCAGGAGCCAGUGUUUGGUGAAGCUAGGACUGAGGAGCGAGCAGCAGUUCGUGCUGAAGAUAGGAAGGAGGAGUCCGGGAGCCAGUGCGGUGUGGUGAAGGCAGCUAGGAAGAAGGAAGGAGCCCUAACGAUUGGAGGUGGAGCUAGGAGAGGAUUCCAGGAAGGAGGAGCCGGCGCGGUGUGGUGAUGAAGCUAGCGGGCGGCUUGGCUUGGCGACCACGCGGCGGCGGCGAGCAGGCGGAGUGGAGGAUAGAUAGAGGAUCCUAGAGCAGCAGCCCAGUGUGCAAGGCCGCAGGGAGAGCGAGUGGCGUGGUAAAAAUCCGUCAGGUCGGCGAUACCGUGGUGGUUUGUUUUUUUUGGCAACUUGAGUAUGGUAAUCUUCACUUUCUUAAUGGUAAUGGGGGAGUUGUGUACUUAAGCGUCAAGGGAUUUAUUACGCGGGUGUAGGCCGAUUUCCGGGUGUUGUAGGUUUCUCUUUUUCAGGCUUAUGUUCUCAUGCAUCUUGUCUGAAGCUUUUGAGGGCAGACUUCCAAGCCCGGAGGAAUGGUAGAUGGCAAGUUUUUUUUUUUUAAACCAAUUUGAGGGAAACCAAAUGGGUUUGGUAGAACAACUUUGAGACAGCGUUUUGGCAAGUUUUGUAAGCAGUUUUUAUUUUUAGCUUGGAGUAGUGAAGCAUUUCAGUUCUGUGAAUGGAUGACCCGUUUUUCUUUCCUCACCCCGUAUUAAAGUUUUCUAAAUGUGGACCUCGGUGUGUAACUGGGGGGGUAAGUCUUGUGGGGUUGGGGGGCAAAAUAUGUUUUGAGUUCUUUUCCCCUUAGGUCGGUCUGUCUAGACUCCCAAAGGCAAAUGACUCGAGUUAUCAGGAAAAAAGAAAAUCCAGUAUCAGGAUAAUCAGAACACCACAGGUUUACAGUUUCUAGAAACUAAAAUACGAGCUGCUCUCACUUUGAGGUCUGUGGCAGAAGUAUCCAUUGGAGAAAUGGCUGGUAGUUAUUCUUUUUUCCACCCCGUAAUCAGAUUUUCAGAUUUUCAAAGUACGUAACUUCUUAAACGCAUUGUUUUUACUUGAAGUAUUUUGGGAUGGGCUUAACAGGGAAAAGGGUGGGGGAGGAAAUGUUUUUUUUCCCUAAGAUUUUCCACAGAUGCUAUAGUACUAUUGACAAACUGGGUUAGAGAAGGAUUGUACUGCUAUGCUGUUGGCACGAACACCUUCAGGGACUGGAGCUGCUUUUUUCCUUGGAAGAGUAUUCCCAGUUGAAGCUGAAAUUACAGCACAGUGCAGCUUUGGUUCAUAUUCAGUCAUCUCAGGAGAACUUCAGAAGAGCUUGACUAGGCCAAAUGUUGAAGUUAAGUUUUCAAAUGUGUCUUUAAAAAUACCUUUUAUUAAAGGGGAGGGGCAAAUUUUGGUGAUGAGUAGUUGGCAGUGGCCUGUUUGGUUGGGUUUGGGAGGGUUGGGUUUAGGUAAUUGUUUAGUUUAUGAUUUCAGAUAACUCAUGCAGAGAACUUAAAUACUUAGGAUGGAAAAACUAAAGAAAUCUCAACUUCCAAGUUGGCAAGUAACUCGCAAUCCUCUAGUUUUUGUUUUAUCCCAAUUUUUGAAUUGGGCAGCUGGGGAAGUUCUUGAAGAUCCACCGGAUUCGAAGUGUAGGGCCUUGGGAAGGAAAAUAUUGGACUGGGGGUUGAUCUAGCCCACGGGGCUGACUUAGAUAAAAUCUUGGGAAUUUUUUAAAACGCUGAAGUUGUUUGGAUGUGGUAGUAUGUGGUUCUCUUUUGGAAUGUUUUUCAGGUGAUUUAAUGUAACUUAAUACUACUGUAGGAGCUUCAGAGCAAAGGAAGUGGCUUAAUGAUCCUGAAGGGAUUUCUUCUGAUGGUAGCUUUUGUAUUAUCAAGUAAGAUUCUAUUUUCAGUUGUGUAUAAACAAGUUUUUUUUUAGUGUAGGAAAAAUAUUUUUCCUUUCUGACUGCAAAACAAGAUGUUAAGGUAUGCUUCAAAAUUAUUGUAAAUUGUAUAUUUUAAAUUUGCAUCUUAAGUAUUUGAAAGUCAUAACUGAUAAAAGGGUGGGCUUUUGUUGAUGAGGGAGGGGAAACCUUUUUUUUUCUGUAGACUUUUUUCAGAUAACAUCUUCUGAGUCAUAACCAGCCUGGCAAUAUGACGGCCUAGAUGGAGAGGGAACAGCUCCUUGGUGAAUGAUAAGUAAAGGCAGAAAAGAUUAUAUUGCAUAUCUCCAUUGGGGAAAAAGCGUAACCCUGAGAUCCUUACUACUGAUGAACACAUUGUCUGCAUAUGCCAAAAAAAAAAAAAAUUGAGCAAAUGAAAACUACCGAUUUAAAGUUAAUGGAAUCUACCAAUUUAAAAUUAAUGGAAUCUACCAUUUUAAAGUUAAUGGAAUCUACCAUUUUAAAGUUAAUGGCUUAUCAAGCUCAUACCCACAAAAAUAACGAAUUGAUGAAAAAUACAAGGAAGAUCAAAUGUCCAUCUCCAACUACUGCUUUUACAAAAGCAGAAUAAAAAAGUGAAAUGAAAAUGAUACUACAUUAAUCCUGGAAUAAAAGAAGCUGAAAUAAUUCAGAGAUGAGUGGGAUCAAGUGGAUUGAGACGAGGCUGUGCUGUUUGCCAAUCUUUCGUUUGCCUCAGACAGGUUUCUCUUCAUUAUCAGAAGAGUUGCUUCAUUCCAUCUGGGAGCAGAAAACAGCAGGCAGCUGUUAACAGAUAAGUUUAACUUGCAUCUGCUGUAUUGCAUGUUAGGGAUAAGUGCUUAUUUUUAUUAAGAAGCUAUUAAGUAUUCAACAUGACCAUUUUUCCUGAUCCUUUCCCCAGGGGAUUCCAGGAUUGUGAGAAAUUUUCCCAUCUAGCCUUUUUAAAAUUAGACAGGCCUUGUGCCUGUAGGCUUCCAUGAUGGGCUAACACACCUCACUCAGAGGCAAGUAAUUCUUAAAAGCCUCUUGAGAUGAGUACCUUAAUAAUCACAAGGUAAUGUUUACAAAACUAAGGAAAUUUGUUGAGCAUUGAAUCUCUGAAAACCCCAUGAAAGGAUAGCAUUAAUGUGCUGUUAACAAAAAUAAGAUAUGUUAAUGUUGUGUAUAUUGUGCAGAAAACCAUUAAAUCGUUCAAAAUAAAACAUUUUAAUAGAGAAUGUAUGCUUUUAGAAAGCUGUGUCCUUAUUUAAAUAAAAUAUUGUUUGUUUGUAGUUAGUGUUGGGCAAUCUUGGGGGGAUUCUUCUCAUCUUUCAGAAACUUGGUCUUCGGACACCCUUUAAUGGACAAGAUCAGGAGUUGAGCAGAAGAACGAAUAUAACUUAAGGCAGGAAAGACAUUUUAUCCUUCGUAAAGUGAUGAGCAUUUUAAUAAUUCCAGGCAUAUGGCAAUAGAGGCCCUCUAAAUAAGGAGUAAAUACCUCUUAGACAGGUGGGAGAUUAUGAUCAGAAUAACAGGUAACUACACUUACACUGUUUCCAGAGACUUAGGGAUCUAUACAUUGACAGUUGUUAAACUAGAGUAAUAAAAUACUGUGACAUUUCCGAAGUUUGCAUGUUAACUUUAAAUGCUUACGAUCAUCUCAUCUAGUGUUAGCUGGUGUUUACACUAUUGGCCUUUUCUAUGGGCACUUGGGGGGACAUGUGGGUUUUGAAAGAAUUUUCCUUUGCAGAGGCUUCAUUUCAUCCCUCAUGAGGCUAUUCAGGAUUUUGACUUGCAUAUAAGCUCUUGGCUCUGCCUUCUGUUCUCCUAGUGAGAGUGUGAGACCUUGCAGUGAGUUUAUCAGCAUACUUGAGUAAAUUUUUUCUCCUGAUUUUGGAGGGAAGGGGGGGUGGGGCUUACUUGUUUUAGUUUUUUUUUGCAGACUACACAGAGAAUGCAGUUGUCUUGACUUCUGGUCUGUCUGUUCUGUUGGCAAGUAAUAAUGCAGUACUGUUCUGAUCCGCUGCUAUUAGAAUGCAUUGUGAAACGACUGGAGUAUGAUUAAAAGUUGUGUUUUCCCUCAAUGCUUGGAGUAGUGAUUGUUGAAGGAAAAUCCAGCUGAGUGAUAAAGGCUGAGUGUUGAGGAAAUUUCUGCAGCUUUAAGCAUUCAUGUUUGUGAUUGAAUCCAAGUACCUUUUGCUGUGCUUUAGGUAAAAUGCUUUUUGUUCACUUCUGGUAGGGGGGUGGGGAGGGCACUGAAGCCUUUAGUCUUUUCCAGAUGCAACCUUAAAAUCAGAGACAAGAAAUAAAUUCCAAACAAGCAACACUCUACAAGAAAUUUAACUGGCAAGUGGAAAUGUUUAACAGUUCAGUGGUCUUAGUGUAUUGUCUUUGUGUGGGUUUCUCUCUCCCCUCCCUUGGUCUUAAUUCUUAUAUGCAGGAACAUUCAAAACAGCAGACGUAUUCGAAGGGCCAGAGAAGCCAGACCCAGUAAGGAAAAGUAGCUUAUUUACUUUAAAUAAACAAAGAUUCCAUUUUAAAUGUGGGGAUUGGGAACCACUAGUUCUUUCAGAUGGUAAUCUUCAGACUAUA